Molecule: ribosomal RNA, 98 nt
Filed under: uncultured bacterium
Lineage: Bacteria
Description: partial 16S ribosomal RNA
Rfam family: Bacterial small subunit ribosomal RNA
Source: RNAcentral
CCAUGGGAGUCGGUAACACCCGAAGCGGUAGCCUAACCGUAAGGAGGGCGCCGCCGAAGGUGGGAUUGAUGACUGGGGUGAAGUCGUAACAAGGUAAC